GAGGCCAUUCACUCUCCUGGUCACUGACCGUUAGGUGUUUACCUGCCACUCACUGUCCUUCCUGAAACACAGUGCCCAGAAUUGGGCACUGUAAUAGCCAGGGGGACUUAGAAAGGGAAGGAACCACUGAACAGCUGUCGGGGAUUGGAUUCUAUGUGGCGCGCUUCCUCUUUCUUUCACUGAGUUGAGCUGUUACCAAUGGAGUCACUCAGUCUAAACUAAAGGAGGUGGCUGGCGGAAACUUGCUGAGCGUCUUGGCAUCUUGGCGUGGCGGCAGCUAUUGUCCAGUUUAGUGGAAGUAAGAGAGAAAUCAAAGAAGACAUACAUGAAGUGAUGCAAAAGUGAAGUAGACAGAUCCCGGUGGACAAUGGCCAAAUGGACAAUAGUGGAAGUGAAAUGGAUGCAGAAACUCGGAAGAAACACAUGGCCUUCUCAGAAUGGAGAGGGCAGUGGACAGCAGAUGCUGAAUGUGGCAGAUGUAAACAAAGUUGGAUGUUGUCCCAACUGUGUUGGUGUCAGAGCCCCUCCGUGGGUCAGUCAAGGAUCUUCGUGACUGGUUGGGGUAAAAUGAUCGCUGAAGGUCAGCCUUCUGGUCCUAGGUCUCUCUGAUGAAGGCAGAAAGGAGCAGGUCCUUCCUAAUCCCUUUGAGAGGCACCAUUCCGUAUGUAGCAAGUGCUUGGAAUGAGGAGGAUCAGUCCAAAAGAGCUGGAUUCUAAUCUUCCCUUUGAUAUUUACGAAUAUGGUGACUCUGGUCAAACCAUCUCUCUUCAAUUAAGCUGAGUUUUCCAAUAUGUUUUGUACCAUAAUAUGGGUAAAACCCACAUUGAAUGGCUUGCCAACUCCAGGAGGGGAUAGGGAAGAAGGGAGAGAGACAACACAAAUCAUAUCACUUUGGAAAACUCAUGCGGAAAUUUGUUAUUAAAAUAAAAUAAAGAUAAAACAUUUAAAAAAAACAAGAUGGUUUUCUAAACCGUAAAAUGAAGAGAGUAAUAAGCACAAGGCUGUGCUGACCCUCAGGGAAGAGUUAUUGAGUAGAAUUGCUUCCCUUUGUUCUCUAAGAGCUUUAGGAUGUUCAGAAGUUUUUUAAUUAAAAUUUAUUUUUUAUUGGGAACUUAGUGAUCAUUGGAAAAAUGUAAACCUUUCACCAUACUGAAAAGAACAAAGGGUUUGUGCGGAAAUCGUGAAGCCCGUUUUCCAUUUGCUCAAGAUCACAGAGCUAAGGAAGGCAGGUGUGUGUGUGUGUGUGUGUGUGUGUGUGUGUGUGUGUGUGUGUGCGCGCACCUACAUGUCAUAAGAUGUUUGCCUCAGUGUCUCAUGUUAGGGACACAAUCAUCCUAGCAGAGCCUGGGUUCUAAACCAGACUUUGUCCUGAAUGGGAAGAUGGUCGUGCUGAUGAAGUGGAUAAAUUAUAGGAAAUUAAAUAAAUGGGGAGCUCGAGGUCUUUGGGAGGGACAGGGGAAGGACAAGGACGGUCUUGGAUGCGUCGAGUUGGAGAUGCUAGGAUGACAUCAAGGGUACCUGAUCGGGAAGAGAGAGAUGAUGCGGCCUCGAGAGCUCCCGCAGGGACACACUAAUUGGGAAGUAUAAUUAUGAAGAGAGGAAAAGGAAGAGAAAGGAACUCAGGCCUGAAAUGCGGCUGCCAGCCACUUUUACAGGAAGGAGAAGACCGAGGAGUCGGCCGAAGGACCAUCCGAGGAGCGGUCGCCAUGGAGCCGUGUCAUGGAAACCAGGGGAAGAGAGGAUCCAGAAGGGGGGGUCCCCAGCAUCCAUUGCCCCCUGGGGGGGGUCAAGGAAAAGAAAUCAGGAGGAAAGGCCAAAAAGAAGGAGCUGCUGACCUCGGAGAGAGCCCUUCCAGAAGAGGCAGCCAGAGUGUUACGGGCUGAGCAGUGUAUGAGUGGUGAUGGAAGGCGGAUAGAAAGGACGGAUGGCUCUUGCCAGAAAUGUGCUGUUAUUGCUCAUCCUGAGUCUUUGAAGAGGACCGGAGACAGGGCAGGGUUGUGGCUUGGCUCAAAUUGCGAUUGUCAGCCGCCCUCUCUCUUUCAGAGUGGUCCAAGUCUAGUGGCAAGACAAAGGUCAGGACGCCCGGCACUGGCCUGGCUUUUUAGAAGUUUGACAACGAAGGAGAAGAGUGUUUAGGAUCUUUGCCAAGAAAACCCCAAAUUUGGUCACAAAGAGGCAGACACGACUGAAAUAACUGAAGAACAACAAAAAGUAUUCAGGCACUUUAUGAAUAUUAUCUCCUUCCAUCCUUAUAAUCCCUCGGUGAGGUAGGUACUAUUAUUACCCCCAUUUUACAGAUGAGAAAACUGAGGCUGAGAGGGGUUAAGAAGCAUAGCUUUGGUCUCCCAGCUAGUAAGUGUCAGAGGUAGAAUCUGAACCCAGGUCUGCUCAGGCAGUAUUGUUUUCUAUGAUACUAUGCUGAUCAUUGGAGCUGGAAAAGACUUUAAA
Monodelphis domestica (gray short-tailed opossum) is the source of this 2448-nucleotide long non-coding RNA. RefSeq lists it as uncharacterized. The record is from RefSeq and is a predicted model, not a curated record. Lineage: Eukaryota; Metazoa; Chordata; Mammalia; Didelphimorphia; Didelphidae.